This is a small nuclear RNA of Erinaceus europaeus (western European hedgehog), 164 nucleotides long. Its record names the gene U1. It matches the Rfam family "U1 spliceosomal RNA". From Rfam's summary of the family: U1 is a small nuclear RNA (snRNA) component of the spliceosome (involved in pre-mRNA splicing). The record is from Ensembl. Lineage: Eukaryota; Metazoa; Chordata; Mammalia; Eulipotyphla; Erinaceidae.
ACACUUACCUGACAGAGUAAAGACCAUGACCAGGCAGGUGGUUUUCCCAGGGUGAGACUUGUCCACUGCACUUGGGAUUUGUCGACCCCUGUGAGUUCCUCAAAUGUGGGAAACUCAACUGCAUAAUUUGUGUUAGUGGGGGACUACGUUCACCUUCUCCCCUG